This 946-nucleotide ribosomal RNA is filed under the name uncultured organism. RNAcentral describes it as "bacterial SSU rRNA". It matches the Rfam family "Bacterial small subunit ribosomal RNA", at positions 469 to 1411 of the family's 1533-position model. The record is from RNAcentral.
UUGACGGUACCCUACUAGAAAGGAGCCGCUAACUUCGUGCCAGAAGCGUCGGUAAUACGGGGGCUCCAAGCGUUAUCCGGUGUUAUUGGGCGUAAAGAGUCGUGUAGGUGGUUGGGUAAGUUAUCUUUCAAAUAUCUUUGCUUAACAAAGAGGAGGGGGAUAAUACUGCUCGACUAGAAUUUUCUCAAGGGAGAUCGGAACUGAGGGAGGAGUAGUGAAAUGCGUUGAUACCCUCGGGAACACCAGUGGCGUAGGCGGAUCUCUGGGAGAAGAUUGACACUGAGACACGAAAGCUAGGGGAGCGAAGCAGAUUAGAGACCUGCGUAGUCCUAGCCGUAAACGCAUGCUUGCUAGCUGCAUGAAUCUACCUUCGGGUGGUAUCGUGUGGCGAAGGUAACCCGUUAAGCAAGCCGCCUGGAAAGUACGGCCGCAAGGCUGAAAUUCAAAGGAAUUGGCGGGGAGGCACCCAACCAGUGGAACAUGUGGUUUAAUUCGAGACUAACCGAAGAACCUCACCAGGGUUUGACAUGUAGCUGCACGUCUUAAGAAAUUAAGACUCUCUUGAAGGUGCUACACAGGUGCUGCAUGGCUGUCGUCAGCUCGUUCCGUGAGGAGUGCCCUUAAGUGGGACAACGAGCGCAACCCCUAUUACAUGUUAGAAAUGUCAUGUAAGACUGCCUUGCCAUUUGGCGGGGAGGAAGGAGGGGCAGACGUCAAGUCCGCAUGGUCCUUAUGCCCUGGGCUACACACAUGUUACAAUGAGUACGGCAAUGAGUCUGUCGCGAGCACGUAAGUGUAAGCUAAUCUCUUAAAUGUACUCUCAGUGGGGAUUGAGGUCUGCAACUCGACCUCAUGAACACGGAAUUGGUAGUAAUCGCGGGUCAGCUAUACCGCGGUGAAAUACGUUCUUGCCUCUUGCACACACCGCCCGUCAAACCAGCAAAGU